RNAcentral lists this ribosomal RNA (406 nucleotides) under uncultured bacterium. RNAcentral describes it as "bacterial SSU rRNA". It matches the Rfam family "Bacterial small subunit ribosomal RNA", at positions 354 to 777 of the family's 1533-position model. The record is from RNAcentral.
GUGGGGAAUAUUGCACAAUGGGGGGAACCCUGAUGCAGCGACGCCGCGUGAGUGAAGAAGUGUUUCGGCACGUAAAGCUCUGUCAGCAGGGAAGAAGAUGACGGUACCUGACCAAGAAGCCCCGGCUAACUACGUGCCAGCAGCCGCGGUAAUACGUAGGGGGCAAGCGUUAUCCGGAUUUACUGGGUGUAAAGGGAGCGCAGACGGCAGCGCAAGUCCGGGGUGAAAGCCCGCGGCCCAACCGCGGGACUGCCCUGGAAACUGUGCGGCUGGAGUGCCGGAGAGGUAAGCGGAAUUCCUAGUGUAGCGGUGAAAUGCGUAGAUAUUAGGAGGAACACCAGUGGCGAAGGCGGCUUACUGGACUGUAACUGACGUUGAGGCUCGAAAGCGUGGGGAGCAAACAGGA